RNAcentral lists this ribosomal RNA (275 nucleotides) under uncultured bacterium. Its description in RNAcentral is "partial 16S ribosomal RNA". It matches the Rfam family "Bacterial small subunit ribosomal RNA", at positions 338 to 630 of the family's 1533-position model. The record is from RNAcentral.
CCUACGGGUGGCUGCAGUAACGAAUCUUCCGCAAUGGGCGCAAGCCUGACGGAGCAAUGCCGCGUGUGGGAUGAAGCAUCUCUGGUGUGUAAACCACUGUCAGGGGACGGAACCAAUGAUUGUCCCCAGAGGAAGUGGCGACUAACUCUGUGCCAGCAGUCGCGGUAAUACAGAGGCCACAAGCAUUAGUCGGAAUCACUGGGCUUAAAGGGUCCGCAGGCGGUCCUCCAAGCGUCUUGUGAAAUCCCACGGCUCAACCGUGGAACAGCAGGGCG